AAUGGACGUUGGCGGCGUGGAUUAGGCAUGCAAGUCGAGCGAGAAGCUUUUGAUUGAUCUUUCGAGUGAAGUCAAAGGUGGACAGCGGCGCAAGGGAGAGUAACGCGUAGAUUACGUACCCAGGGGUUUGGGAUAGCGGGGGGAAACCGCCGGUAAUACCAAAUAAUGUUUCCGAACCAAAGAUUUAUUGCCCUGGGAGCGGUCUGCGUCCUAUUAGUUUGUUGGUGGGGUAAAAGCCUACCAAGGCUAAGAUGGGUAGCGGGUGUGAGAGCAUGGCCCGUCUCACUGGGACUGAGACACUGCCCAGACGUCUACGGACGGCUGCAGUCGAGAAUCUUCCGCAAUGGACGAAAGUCUGACGGAGCGACGCCGCGUGCGGGAUGAAGGCCUUCGGGUUGUAACCCGCUGUCAGAGGGGAGCAAAUUUUGACCGAUCCUAAGAGGAAGCACAGGCUAAGUUCGUGCCAGCAGCCGCGGUAAUACGAACUGUGCGAACGUUAUUCGGAAUCACUGGGCUUAAAGGGUGCGUAGGCGGCUACAAAGGUCAGAUGUGAAAUCCCACGGCUCAACCGUGGAACUGCGUUUGAAACCGUGUAGCUUGAGGGAGUCAGAGGUAAGCGGAACUGAUGGUGGAGCGGUGAAAUGCGUUGAUAUCAUCAGGAACACCGGUGGCGAAAGCGGCUUACUGGGACUUUUCUGACGCUGAGGCACGAAAGCUAGGGGAGCGAACGGGAUUAGAUACCCCGGUAGUCCUGGCUGUAAACGAUCUGUACUAGUCUGUGGGGACCUCCACAUCCUCUCGGACGUAGCGAAAGUGUUAAGUACAGCGCCUGGGGAGUAUGGUCGCAAGGCUGAAACUCAAAGGAAUUGACGGGGGCUCACACAACCGGUGGAGGAUGUGGCUUAAUUCGAGUCUACGCGAAGAACCUUACCUAGACUUAACAUGCUUGGGAAUCUCUAUGAAAGUAGAGAGUGCCUUUCGGGGAGCCCUUGCGUAGGUGCUGCAUGGCUGUCGUCAGCUCGUGUCGUGAGAUGUCGGGUUAAGUCCCUUAACGAGCGAAACCCUUGUCACUAGUUGCCAGCGAGUCAUGUCGGGGACUCUAGUGAGACUGCCGGGUUAAACCGGAGGAAGGUGGGGAUGACGUCAAGUCCUCAUGGCCUUUAUGUCUAGGGCUGCACACGUCCUACAAUGCGGCGAACAAAGCGAUGCGAACUCGCGAGAGCAGC
Molecule: ribosomal RNA, 1226 nt
Filed under: uncultured prokaryote
Description: partial 16S ribosomal RNA
Rfam family: Bacterial small subunit ribosomal RNA
Source: RNAcentral